RNAcentral lists this long non-coding RNA (673 nucleotides) under Homo sapiens (human). RNAcentral's name for it is "long non-coding RNA NONHSAT156166.1". Lineage: Eukaryota; Metazoa; Chordata; Mammalia; Primates; Hominidae. The record is from RNAcentral.
GGUCCCUGUGAGAUCCAGGCGGAGCGUGCCACACUUCUUCACCCCGGGAUCAGUGAUGAAGCUGACGUUGUCGUGCUCAGAGCUGUAGAUGUUGAUGACAAUGACCAGCUGGGAGGGCUUGGCCGGGGUGUAGCUACGCUUGACCAGCUCACCCAGAGCCACAGACUGGUCGGCAGAGAUGAACUUGUCAAAGACGUCGGUGCACCACCGAGUGCCAUCCUUCACCAGCAGCUUCUCAGGCGGGUGCUUGCCCUCCACGUAGCGGUUCAGCACGCCUACCCCGUAGGUGAGCGGCGACCGGCGCACCUUGAUGACCGCGGGGUCCAGGCCAAAGAGGACGGCACCCUUGAGGAUGGUGAGGCCCACGUCCUGGGGGAUGAUGAUCCGGCACUGGUCCCCAAAAGCAGCCUGCACCGCCUGCUGCAGCAGGGGCGCCUCGGCAAAGCCGCCCACCAGAAAGAGGAACUUGACGGUGGACACCUCGGGCUUCUGAAACAGGUCCCAGCAAGAGCAAAGGACAUUGAAGGACGCUACCUUCCUCCAGCUCGGACCAGAUUUCUCCUAUGACAUUCUCCACCAAAAAGGUCCGACUCUGCCGAUUACGCCGUAUGUGUUCCUUAGCUAGUGGCCGACAGAAAGAAAAUGAUGACGGGUAAGAAAGCAUGAAAAAGCA